GAUCUGGCUCAGGACGAACGCUGGCGGCGCGCCUAACACAUGCAAGUCGAACGAGCGAGAGAGAGUUUACUUUUUCGAGCGAGUGGCGAACGGGUGAGUAACGCGUGAGGAACCUGCCUCAAAGAGGGGGACAACAGUUGGAAACGACUGCUAAUACCGCAUAAGCCCACGACCCGGCAUCGGGUAGAGGGAAAAGGAGCAAUCCGCUUUGAGAUGGCCUCGCGUCCGAUUAGCUAGUUGGUGAGGU
RNAcentral lists this ribosomal RNA (247 nucleotides) under uncultured bacterium. Its description in RNAcentral is "partial 16S ribosomal RNA". It matches the Rfam family "Bacterial small subunit ribosomal RNA", at positions 15 to 258 of the family's 1533-position model. The record is from RNAcentral.